RNAcentral lists this ribosomal RNA (253 nucleotides) under uncultured bacterium. Its description in RNAcentral is "partial 16S ribosomal RNA". It matches the Rfam family "Bacterial small subunit ribosomal RNA", at positions 524 to 776 of the family's 1533-position model. The record is from RNAcentral.
UACGGAGGGUGCAAGCGUUAUCCGGAUUCACUGGGUUUAAAGGGUGCGUAGGUGGGCUGGUAAGUCAGUGGUGAAAUCUCCAGGCUUAACUUGGAAACUGCCAUUGAUACUAUCAGUCUUGAAUACCGUGGAGGUCAGCGGAAUAUGUCAUGUAGCGGUGAAAUGCUUAGAUAUGACAUAGAACACCUAUUGCGAAGGCAGCUUACUACGCAGAUAUUGACGCUCAUGCACGAAAGCGUGGGGAUCAAACAGG